This 975-nucleotide long non-coding RNA is filed under the name Ananas comosus (pineapple). RNAcentral describes it as "long non-coding RNA (ACOM_LNC020714)". Lineage: Eukaryota; Viridiplantae; Streptophyta; Magnoliopsida; Poales; Bromeliaceae. The record is from RNAcentral.
UUUUGUUUAAAUUUUAAGUUAAUUUUAUAUAGCUCCCCGUAAGAAUAUCGAAUAACAAAUAUAUCCCUAUAAUGUUUAACUUUUUAUAUUUGUUCCUGCAAAAGUCCUAAUAUUUUCAGAUAUAGUCUUGCUGUUAGAAUCCGUUAAAAAAACAUAAUUAACCAUAGGUAAAAUAUCUAACCAUGGUUAGUGAAUAAGAUAAAUUGACUUUUUUAUCUUUUUUAUAUUAUUUGUGAUCAUAGAAAGAAAAAAUAUGUCCGUUGAAAAUUUUUGGGAGGACAUUUCUGUAUAAUUCUAAUAGUUAAAGCUUUUGGAGGGAUAUAUUUGUGAUGGUAAAAAUGUCAUUUACUUAACUUCUGUUAAAAAAUAAACAGUGCUAUAAUAGUAACAAACCAGAAGAGCAAAUAUGAAUAUCAUUAUACUUUUGCGAGAAUAAAUAUGAAAAAUUAAACUCUGUAGGAAUAUAUUUGCUAUUCGAUAUGCUUACAGGGAGCUGUAUAAAGUUAACCCAAAUUUUAAUAUAUUUUAAUAUUAUUCAGUUAUCUAACUUGUAGUUUACUAUUUUAUCAGCUUUGUUUUUGCUUUGUUUUUAUUUAGAGUAAACUUCAAAUACCACCCUUGUGGUUUCGCAUUUUCUCACUUUCGUACCCUAUGGUUUAAAGUGUAUCAAGUUAGUGUCCUGUGGUUUUAUUUUUAUCUUUUUAUCAGCUUUUCCGUUAAUAUUUUAUUAAAUUAUAUAUAAAAAAUUUCAGAUACCCCACCUAGGUUUAUUGAAUAUUCACUUUAGUAACAUUUAGUUUUAACUUCGUCACUAAUUUAACGAAAAAAAUUACUGAAAUCGAUAAUAAAAAAAUAAAAAUAAAACUACAUGACACUAAAUUGAUACACUUCAAACUAUAUGGUACUAAAGUGAGACAGUAUGAAAUCACAGGGGUAGUAUUUGAAAAUUUUCCUUUUAUUUAUUAUAAUUAAAGG